AAAUUUCAAAAGAAACAAAAACCCUAUUCCGUUGCUCUUUCUGAUUUCAAUAAUUUUCAAGGCUCGAUGCAUGCCAAAAUGUAUGCCAAUCGAUUGUUCUUAGUAGUAUCUAUCUUUGGCCCAUUUUGAAGCAUGAUGGAUUCCAAUAGAUUCUCCACUGAUUGGCCAAACAUUCGUCGCUAUCAUCGGCCAAAUCAGUAUAUUCUUCUCUUCAUUCUUUUGGUUUAAAAUGAUCAGUUACGUUUUAGUUUUAGUUUUUGUUUUGGAUUGUUCAAUAGAGUUUGUUUAAGACAGGAGAUUUAGGAUUAACUUUGUAAUUAUUUUGUUAAUUGUACCGGUUUAACAUUUUUGUUUAUUCAAUAAAUUGUUUUGUUGAAUCAGACAGUUGGAAAUAUUGGUUAAGGGAAUGUUUGGGGUUAGAAAUUUUCAGUUUGAGAUUAAUGUUUGAACUUGUGUGUUCUUGUGGUAGCUGUUUGUAAUUAAUAAAAGCUAGUGGGGUGAUAGAAUUUGAAAAUGGUGUACACUAGGCAUUAAAAUCAGGGUUUAGGUUAUUGAAGUAUUUGUUUGUAUUAAACAGAACUAAAAGGGUUUAAUUCGAAGGUAGGAAUGGAUAAACCCUAGGUAAAAUAUCAAAACAUUCUAGAUUUUGCACAGCUGUCCCAUCCUUAGCUUAAAAGAAAGCAUUCACUCAUACACGCACACGAACCAAUCAGCAUAAAAGGGUUCUAAAAAGAAAACACAAGAAUCAAAUUGGAAAAAUCAUUAAAAAAAAAAAAAGCACAAAAAGACUUAGCUAUUAUCUCAUUGAUGGCUGGUUCUAUCUUCCUUUGAUUUUUAGAAAAAACUUAGAAAAAUCUUCCCUGAAAUUUCUGGUUUAUCCAUUUGAAGCUGCUACUGCUAUUGUUUAGCUGUCAUUUCUCAUUCAUUCCUUACUUAAGUCUUUACUUUCAUCGUUCUUUGCUGUACUCAGGUAUUCUCACGAGCCUUGAAGUGACAAAAAAUGGAAUUGUAUCAUUUUGUUUUGAAAUAUAACUUCAGAUUCUUCUUUUUCUUUCUCUGUUGUUUGUUUUCUGUUGUUUUUCUUUUUAUUGGACUCAAUUUCCUUUCUCAAGUUAUGAUUUUUGUUGAUUUAAUGGGCUAUGAAUGUGUAUUUGGAUUUUAAUUUGGGUGGAUAAUGAAAUGGCUUGAGAAAGAUGACAUGGUAACAUAAGUCCAUGAACUUUGAUGGUAAAGAGAUAUCAGGAUUUUAAUUUCUGAGGCAUGGUUUCAUGUUUUUAU
This 1278-nucleotide long non-coding RNA is filed under the name Nicotiana benthamiana. Its description in RNAcentral is "long non-coding RNA (NBEN_LNC037006)". Lineage: Eukaryota; Viridiplantae; Streptophyta; Magnoliopsida; Solanales; Solanaceae. The record is from RNAcentral.